ACGCACUGUAAAGACAGCGUUAAAGCUCAACAAUUAAACAAUAUUUAAUUCCAUCAACAAAUUAACCAACUCCUAGACCCACUACUGGACUAUUCUAUUAAAAAAUAGAAGCAAUAAUGUUAAUAUGAGUAACGAGAAACAACUUCUCCCCGCAUAAGUUUAAGUCAGUAUCUGAUAAUACCCUGACUAUUAACAGUAAAUAAAAAUAACCCAAAAAUAAACAAUUUAUUCACCAUACUGUUAAUCCAACACAGGAGUGCACCCAGGAAAGAUUAAAAGAAGUAAAAGGAACUCGGCAAACACAAACCCCGCCUGUUUACCAAAAACAUCACCUCCAGCAUUCCCAGUAUUGGAGGCACUGCCUGCCCAGUGACAAAAGUUAAACGGCCGCGGUAUCCUGACCGUGCAAAGGUAGCAUAAUCAUUUGUUCUUUAAAUAAGGACCUGUAUGAAUGGCCACACGAGGGUUUUACUGUCUCUUACUUCCAAUCAGUGAAAUUGACCUUCCCGUGAAGAGGCGGGAAUAAGAAAAUAAGACGAGAAGACCCUAUGGAGCUUUAACUAGUUAGCUUAAAGAAAAAAACUUUACCACCGAGGGAUAACACUAAUCUUAAUAAACUAACAGUUUCGGUUGGGGUGACCUCGGAGAAUAAAAAAUCCUCCGAGCGAUUUUAAAAACAAGACACACAAGUCAAAUUGAACUAUCGCUUAUUGAUCCAAAAAUUUGAUCAACGGAACAAGUUACCCUAGGGAUAACAGCGCAAUCCUAUUCAAGAGUCCAUAUCGACAAUAGGGUUUACGACCUCGAUGUUGGAUCAGGACACCCCGAUGGUGCAACCGCUAUCAAAGGUUCGUUUGUUCAACGAUUAAAGUCCUACGU
This 879-nucleotide ribosomal RNA is filed under the name Gazella subgutturosa marica (sand gazelle). RNAcentral describes it as "partial 16S ribosomal RNA". It matches the Rfam family "Bacterial large subunit ribosomal RNA", at positions 1396 to 2601 of the family's 2925-position model. The record is from RNAcentral. Lineage: Eukaryota; Metazoa; Chordata; Mammalia; Artiodactyla; Bovidae.